This 326-nucleotide unclassified non-coding RNA is filed under the name Athalia rosae (coleseed sawfly). RNAcentral's name for it is "misc RNA ENSAEAG00005011722.1". The record is from RNAcentral. Lineage: Eukaryota; Metazoa; Arthropoda; Insecta; Hymenoptera; Athaliidae.
UUAACGAUAAGGUGAUUACCGUUUAUACCAAUCAGCUCAUAUAACUCGAGUUCGCAUAAAUGAGAAAACCCAAAUAUACCUGUCCAGGAAUACAAAGGGCGGUAAAAAUCCAAUGGGUUGCACCAAGCAUCGUUUUACCCGAGUAAUUUCAACCGGAUGCCUGAAGUCGACGCUCGCUGAUGCACCCAACGCGAUGCUCCAGUAUUUAUAGGAUCCACCAGUUGAGAAGUAGCUUGUGUGAUAUAGCUGCUGCCCAUAUCGUGCGUGAACCAAAAUCAGCGGCUCACGAGUGACGUGGUCAUACAUCCUCUUCACCAUAUACGGCG